UACGUAGGGUGCGAGCGUUGUCCGGAAUUACUGGGCGUAAAGAGCUCGUAGGUGGUUUGUCGCGUUGUCCGUGAAAACUCACAACUCAAUUGUGGGCGUGCGGGCGAUACGGGCAGACUGGAGUACUGCAGGGGAGACUGGAAUUCCUGGUGUAGCGGUGGAAUGCGCAGAUAUCAGGAGGAACACCGGUGGCGAAGGCGGGUCUCUGGGCCGGAACUGACGCUGAGGAGCGAAAGCGUGGGGAGCGAACAGG
Molecule: ribosomal RNA, 253 nt
Filed under: uncultured bacterium
Lineage: Bacteria
Description: partial 16S ribosomal RNA
Rfam family: Bacterial small subunit ribosomal RNA
Source: RNAcentral